GCCUAUUGUGGGACCUUAUGAUCAUGCAAAAGGACUUGUAAGUAUCAUGCUCUUUCUCUUCGAAGAGCUGGAGAAAUCAGAGGCUCUGAACCUCAUGGAAGAACGCACAGGCAAACCAGGCAAAAGCUGGAGUUUCAACUGCAGUCAGCCGGCCUUCACUUUAUCUUAUGCUGCCUUUGCCCUCCAGAGAGGUUUUGUUCCCAAAAAAUCUCCGAAAGGUGCCCAGCUAUGACAUCCAGCACUUCAUUUGUUGAUUCGAAGACCUGGGUUAAAAUACCAGCUCUGCCAUUUCAUUCAAGAUUCCCCUGAAUUCACAUUUAUUGGACACUAUGGUAUGUCGAAACUGUGCUCUGAUGAGGGAAUGAAAAGCUGAAUCAGGUGUGACUACUGCUUUCAAGGUGCUGCAGACUUUAUUGUGUUUCCCCAAGUUCAUAUGUUGAAGCCAUAACCUCCAGUGUGGCUGCAUUGGCAGAUAGGGCCUCUAAGUGGGUAGUGGAGGUUACAUGUGUCAUCGGGGUGCGGCCCUGAACCAAAAGGAUUAGUGUUCUUAUAAGAAGAGAUGCCAGAAAGAAAACAAAAAGAAAAAGAAAAGAAGAAAAGACAGGCC
Molecule: long non-coding RNA, 607 nt
Filed under: Homo sapiens (human)
Lineage: Eukaryota; Metazoa; Chordata; Mammalia; Primates; Hominidae
Description: HSALNT0356588
Source: RNAcentral